RNAcentral lists this ribosomal RNA (463 nucleotides) under uncultured bacterium. RNAcentral's name for it is "partial 16S ribosomal RNA". It matches the Rfam family "Bacterial small subunit ribosomal RNA", at positions 28 to 507 of the family's 1533-position model. The record is from RNAcentral.
GAUGAACGCUGACAGAAUGCUUAACACAUGCAAGUCGAUGGGGAAGUGGUGCUUGCACCCUGGCAACCAUGGCGGACGGGUGAGUAACGCGUAAGGGACUUACCUGCAGGACUGGGAUAACGGGGGGAAACUCCUGACAAGACCGGAUAAUGUCAUGGAGCUGCAUGGCUUUAUGAUGAAAGGAGACGCCUGCGGAGAGCCUUGCGUCCUAUUAGCUAGUUGGUGAGGUAAUGGCUCACCAAGGCGAAGAUAGGUAGCCGGCCUGAGAGGGUGGACGGCCACAAGGGGACUGAGAUACGGCCCUUACUCCUACGGGAGGCAGCAGUGGGGAAUAUUGGACAAUGGGGGCAACCCUGAUCCAGCAAUUCUGUGUGCACGAAGAAGGUUUUCGGAUUGUAAAGUGCUUUCAGCAGGGAAGAAGUAAGUGACGGUACCUGCAGAAGAAGCGACGGCUAAAUACGUG